CUUUGGAUGUGAGGCUAGCCAGGUUGGCACAGUGGUGAGAAUACAGCAUGCAAACUAACUCUGCCCAUUGCCAGGAGUUUGAUCCUGACCGGUUCCAGGUUGACUCA
This is a non-coding RNA of Notechis scutatus (mainland tiger snake), 107 nucleotides long. NCBI's taxonomy places the organism in Eukaryota, Metazoa, Chordata, Lepidosauria, Squamata, Elapidae. The record is from RefSeq and is a predicted model, not a curated record.